CAUACAUAAAACACUUCCUGGGAUUGUGAUUUUUCCUAAAUGGCUUGAGUUGAUGGUUGUUUUUCAUUCAACAGCUACAGCUGUGGCUCCAGCUGUCCCUCCUAAAUGUUAUUUGUCUCAGGAAGCCUCUUAUCCAAAGGACUGACCUUUCAAAGGGACUCCUAGUGCUUCGUUAGGCAUAUGCUAAUGAGCUGAGGGUGGAGGCCAGGUGAUAAAUUGCUAGCCUGUAAUAAAUUGUUAGCCAACCUGCUUAUUAGGUAGAAGGCUAGAGAGGGAGGGAGGGAAGAAAGAAAGAGGAAAGCUGUUGAGGAUUUGUGUCUGCAAUGUUAUUAAAAAGAAUGUCAACCUUGUUGUAUGAGGAUGAAGAAAGGAAUUGCUGGGCUGUGUGUUCCCCCUAAGGCUGUGCUAUUACAGCCUCAGGAUAAAUAACAACAGUAGCUGUUGCAAAAACCUUUCUCUUGGGAGAGGUAUUCAUAUUCCUGGGUUAAUGCUGACUCCCAGUGUAGCUUGAGCUUCAGUUUGAGGCUGUGCAGUUGUAUAGCAGUGCGUCUUCUAUUUAAGGAAGGCUCUCCUUGUUGACAUUGCCUCCCAUUCAGGAUCAAAGUAUUACAUAUGAUUGCUGCAUUUGAAUUUUAGUAAAAUCUCUGUAGGCUUAUGUUGUUGUUUCUGGAAGUAUCUUUUAUUCUGGAUGUUCUUAAACCAGUAAAUACAGUUUCUAGCCCAUGGAAGGCCAAUCAUUUCCAUCCUUCUGCCCUUGGAUAGCCAGAGUUCUUAGCUAAAGCCCAGCAGAACUCAGUUCUUGAAAAUUAGCCUCUGCAAAACACUUCUAAUGAGCUGGACUUUCACAAAGCGAGCUGGGUGUAAGUGAGCAGAUUUAAUUUCUAUGCUUUAAAGUAGCAGCUUUCCUGUGUAAUCAGGGGAAACUGACUAAAGUUUUUUUUCCUUGUAUAAAAAAAAAAAAACAAAAAACAUUUCUAAUAGAACUAGGAGGUCUGACAAAAGCUUCUGGCUAGUUGGGGCUAGCAAUGAGUAUGAAAUUAUCUGUUUAUUGGCUGGUACUGGAGUAGGAUUGGUCUCUUGCCGUCACUUUUGGCAACACAAGCUACACAUACAAAAGAGACAGUGCUGGAGACAGACACAGAACUAUGGAUCCCCUGUGGCUGUCUCCACACCUAUGAAAAGAAAAUAAGCAAUAUUAGUAGUGACGCACCAGCUUUAGGAGCUGUUCCAAGAGUUGUCCCCAGAGAACCCAAAGGAAGAUAAGAAUUGAGUAUCUGCUGUGGGAAGCAGAAUUAGAAACACACAAAGUACGUUAAGCCUGGACAGCCAAUUUGCAAGGAUGCUGCGCUCAGAUAAAUUCUACCAGGAACUAAACACAACAGGUGGUGUCUUUGAAUUUCUACACUGGACCUGUGGGCAGAAAGCAGGGUUUCCACAGUCACUGGCUGAGGAAAUUAAUCCAACUCAUGGCUGCAGAAAGAAUUUUGGCUCUGUUUGAGUGCAUAAAGCAAUCAUAAUUGGCAUGUUGCUGAAACUCCUUUCCUGAUGGCCAGAUCUUUCAGUGAGUGAAGUGUUGUCCUGUCAUAAGAGCUUUACUGUGAAACAACAGCCAUACUGGAUGUGCAAGGGUGGUCAAGGGUGAACUCUAGCCCCAGUGGAAGAAAGGAAGUGUGGUUAUUCUAAGGAGCAGAGGAUAAUAGAGAUGAACCUGCUUAGCAGAGAUGUCACAGACCAGAUGGACCAGAUGCCAUGCUGCUCAGGAGAGAAAAACUUGUCUUUAUGGAAACAAGGGUGAGCUGGCACAUAUAUGAGCAGGUCGCAAGCUCAUGGUGAGUAGACUUAUCUCUGAGAGGCUGCCUCAUCUGCUGGGUAUUUUCUUUCACGCUUUUACUUAUAAACAUUUUUAAAUGUAUCAUCUACCCUGAAUAUUUUAAGCAUUUUGAUUUACACUUUCACUUGGCCUGACCUGUGCUAAGAGUGAUUACAAGACAGAUAAAUAACGAAUAGAUUAUGACUAUACAUAUCUGUAAGAAAAACACCAGUAUGGCAGGCAGUAAUGAAACCAGACAGGAGAUGCAGUCCUCAGGUAAAUGGCAAGAUGUCAUUGCCUUUUUUUUUUUUCUCUUUUCUUUUUUCCAUCUUUUCUUUUUUUGUUUUGGAUUAGGUGUUGUAGGUUGGUGUUUGUUUGCUUGUUUUUUGCUUUUUUACUCCUCUUUAAUAUUAGCAAAAUGUUUAUGACUACAUUCACCAUCUUUCAUGUCCAGCAAUAAUAGAAGUACUCUCUAGUCCUAGGCUGAGACUUAGCUAUGGUGUCUGCAACAGGAGGUAGGCCUGUGCUGCAGUUUCAGAAAGGCUGCACUCAAGCUGGUAGCUGUCUAGCUGUGGCACGCUUAUAAUCACUGUAGGAUGUAAAACCCACUUGAGAAAUGUGGUAAAUUAAACCCAUGUUGAGUUCUUUCCUGCUGUUAGGGGAGCAGGAAUACUGCAUUCACUGCUAGCUUGAUAUCAACAUUUGAGCUAAACUGUUUAAAUCUUGUUCAAGUAUUUGUGCAUAAAAAGCAAUGUAGAAGUAUGUAGGAACUCUUACUACCUUGAACAGAUAAGCUAUUUUAUAUUUUUAGUGGAACAAAAGACAAACUGCAGUCUAAAAAAUAUUUAUAUAGGACAUUGCAAUUAUUGUUCAGAAUUAAUGAGUUUUAUCCCCUCCUUUUGGCUUAAAGAACACAAAAUACCAAUGAAAGGAAACAGAUGUAGUUGUUUUAAGCAUUUACAAAGGAAACUGCAGUAAAGCCUGAAACAUCACUGUGUAAAAGCCUUGUAUGUCAUGGAGAUGUUCUGAUAUUGUUUUCAUUUGCCAGCUGUGUGCAAAGAGGGAGUUAUGUCUGUGGCCAAUAGGUCUUCCCACAUCAGAGCAGUAAUAACAACAAAGCAGCGGAAAUAUUAGGAAAGCUCUAACUUUACCUCCAAAUACGCUUGAUUUUCCUAAACAAGAAACAUGCAUUAGGAAUCAGUUCAAAGGAAAAUGGUCAGAAUUUAUAAUGCUCUUCUGAAAAAGACAAUAAUAGGAAGAAAGAGCACUACUAAGGUGAACUAGUCUAAAGUGAGUGUGGCCAACAAAUAAGAUAUUACCUUAUAUCUUACCAGAUUAUAUUACCAGAAUAUUACCUUCUGGCUCGCCUUCUCAGCUAAUGCUUCUCAAUAUUUACACUCCAAGAAAAAUACCAGCACUUUCAGCUGGUCUGAAAAGAUACAGCAUGGUAAACUAGAAAGGAAUUUCUGGGACUGUAGACUGGAUGAUUCAAGUCCAGCUCCUAACUCUGCUUUUACCACUGGUGUUAAGCCUUCUGGCAACACCUAACAUCUCAGCCCCAGUGUAAGGAGACAGUUCUAUGGCAGACCCAUAACAAUAUGGUUUUACCCUGGAAACACCUGUAGCCUGGUGAUAUGAGCUUACUGUCCUUUGGCUUUUCUAACAGUUAAAUGGGGAACUUCUCUCUGACCAGGAUGCCUGUAUGACUCCACUGAGGGUUUCCGAUUGAUGUUCUUUUUCACUUACUGCCUAUUAAGCUGGAAAAACAACUAUGUGAACAUUGCAAUCUGACCAUUUUUCUGUCCCAGUUUUUCAUGCAGUGCUAUACAUUGCGAUGGUAUGUUCUGGCCUUACUACAUAUGGAGUCCAAGCUAUUGAACACACACACACACACACACACACACACACACACACACACACAAAACAAACAAACAAAAAAACCAGAAAAACACAGCAACACAGAACAGCAAAGGGAUCAAAGGUUUAAAAUGUUUUUGUCACUCAAUUGCAUUAUAGAAUGAUACUUCACUCCCAUUUGGAAAUGGGAACAUCCUGGAAAUGGUAAAAUACCUUCUGUGAGCUAAAAAAAAUCAUGCAUAAGGAACGUAAAAUAAUGGCUUAGAUCUGGAAUGGAGAAGUUAAUAGUUCUCUGAAUAUCUUAUCUUUAUCAAUGGUUUGUGCAUGGGUUGCCCCAAAAGUAAUGUCUCCUGUUUAUUUUCAUGGAAACUACAUAGAUACAAAGAGCACAAUAACACUAUUUGGUAGAGCAUCUCAUAGCUACAAAACACUGUUUUUCA
Long non-coding RNA from Numida meleagris (helmeted guineafowl), 4107 nucleotides. RefSeq lists it as uncharacterized. Lineage: Eukaryota; Metazoa; Chordata; Aves; Galliformes; Numididae. The transcript is spliced from 6 exons. The record is from RefSeq and is a predicted model, not a curated record.